AGUCGUAACAAGGUUUCCGUAGGUGAACCUGCGGAAGGAUCAUUAAUGAAAUGCAAGGACGCUCUUUUUAGAGGUCCGACCCAAUUCAUUUUCUCACACUGUGCACACUACUAUUUUUACACCCAUUUUUAACACUUAAAGUAUAAGAAUGUAAACAGUCUCUUAAUUGAGCAUAAAAUUAAAACAAAACUUUCAGCAACGGAUCUCUUGGCUCUCCCAUCGAUGAAGAACGCAGCGAAAUGCGAUACGUAAUGUGAAUUGCAGAAUUCAGUGAAUCAUCGAAUCUUUGAACGCACCUUGCACUCUUUGGUAUUCCGAAGAGUAUGUCUGUUUGAGUGUCAUGAAACUCUCAACCCCCUUGUUUUGUAAUGAAACGAGCGUGGGCUUGGAUUAUGGCUGCUGCCAGCGUAACUGUCGACUCGGCUGAAAUACACGAGCUACCCAUUUCUAAGAAAUAGACGGUUUGACUCGGCGUAAUAACAUAUUUCGCUGAGGACGUCACAUUCUUAAUAUUAGUGGUGCUUCUAAUGCGACAUCUAAAUUUAAGCUUUAGACCUCAAAUCAGUCAGGACUACCCGCUGAACUUAAGCAUAUCAAUAAAGUCG
This 605-nucleotide ribosomal RNA is filed under the name uncultured fungus. RNAcentral describes it as "eukaryotic LSU rRNA". The stretch from base 188 to 341 matches the Rfam family "5.8S ribosomal RNA". Lineage: Eukaryota; Fungi. The record is from RNAcentral.